Long non-coding RNA from Gadus macrocephalus (Pacific cod), 1876 nucleotides. RefSeq lists it as uncharacterized. The transcript has 10 exons. The record is from RefSeq and is a predicted model, not a curated record. NCBI's taxonomy places the organism in Eukaryota, Metazoa, Chordata, Actinopteri, Gadiformes, Gadidae.
CAAUAUGUUAAUUUCCGAUGGUUGCGCCAUACUUUUAACCACGUUGACGGGACUCUCGCUGCGUACAAAACGGCGUUCUACUUGCGGCCCAAUUUUUGACAUCGGUGAAGGCUGAAAAUCAUUUGAAGGUGGAAGACAAUUUGAUAUUUCUUCAAAGGAACCCAGCACCUCAAUAUGAGUUGAGUAAAUUUGAUUUAAUAUUGAUACUGCUUAGUGUUCUUUGUUACUUCACCUUUUGUACGUUCUAAAUGUAUGCUGUCAUUAAUUGCCACAGAAGUUAAACCCUACCAAAUAGAAUGACGUAAAUCAACGACUUUGGUGCAGAGUUACCAACUGGAUAAUAUCAAAGCUAAAAUAAUGGCCGUCAUUUCCACAUGUUACAGUAGAAGAUACUCUAGAACUGUAGAAGGUUAAAAAGGUAACAUGUAGUUUGUCCCAUGGUGUCUGCCUCCUCACCCAGAGCAAGACCUCCACCUCCUUACCCAGAGCCAGACCUCCACCUCCUGUCAGAAGUCCUCCAGAACAGCUCAAAGGUGAGGCUGAGAGGCUUGGGACCGGAGGCUUGUGGUGCCAGGAUGGACCGGAGACUGAGGCUGGAGACCAGGGGCCUGCAGCACCGGACCAGAGGACCAGGAAUCCAUGGCUGAAGGAGCUGAUGGAGGAGCUGUGCUGAAGGCCCUGCCUGGUGGAGGAGCUGAUGGAGGCCCUGCCUUGUGGAGGAGCCGUGCUGAAGGCCCUGCCUGGUGGAGGAGCUGACGGAGGCCCUGCCUGGUGGAGGAUCCGUGCUGAAGGCCCUGCCUGGUGGAGGAGCUGAUGGAGGCCCUGCCUGGUGGAGGAGCCGUGCUGACGGCCCUGCCUGGUGGAGGAUCCGUGCUGACGGCCCUGCCUGGUGGAGGAUGUCUGUCGUGGGACCAGGACUCUGUCUGAGGAGAGCAGAUGGAGGAGCUGAGACGCUGGAGGACAACUAGGAAUCGACCAACAAGGAUUCCUCAACGUGUUUCUGGAGCGGAGGCCAGCUGGUAGGGGAGCCGUGAAUCUGGAGGAUGACCAUCACUCUACCAACAAGGAUUACUUUAGGGCCAGACUCGCGCUGUUUGUUCCAGACCAGGACUCUGGCUGAGGAGAGCUGACGGAGGAGCCAAGACUCUGGAGGUCGACAUCACUCCACCAACCAGGAUCCUCAGACGAAUUACGUUUGUAACCAGACCAGGAAUCUGGAGGACUGAUGGAGAAGCCGUACAUCUGGAAGGCAAAUCCUGAGGACCAGCAGGACUCUACCAUCAAGGAUUCCUCAUAAGUUUGCAUUAUCUGGACAUAGUGGACUAGACACACCUGAGCUGAACCUCACCUGAUCCUGUUUGGUCGGGGGCAGACGCACCUGAGCUAAACCCACCCUGAUCCUGACAUCCUGCUGGUCCCGUCUCAGUUCUCCUGAGCCUCGUCCUCCAGAAGACCUGCUGAGCUCAGCAGUCUGAGGCUGAUGGAUCAAUGACCUCCAGUGGGAGGGAUCUUCUUGACCCCACUUGUAACCGUGUGCUUCCACACGCCUUUCCCUCACGUCUGUCACUAACUUCACUACUCUCUACUGCUUCCUCUUUUCUUCCUUCUCUGUGGUUUAAACCUUUACACUGAAGGCGCGUCUUCCUGCCCUCAGAGGGUUUAGCGUUAGGGUUGAGAGUCAGGGUUUAGAGUCAGGGACAGAGCUGGUCAGGGAGGACUGCUUUUACACAAACCUCUUGACUUGCUUUCGGAAUGGUGGUGACAUUUUGAAAAGAUUCAUUUGGUAAAAUCUUUUCCUCUGCUUCCCUUUACAAAAUUGUAUCAAACUUCUGUCAAGUGUUUUUGUUUAAAUAUUAAAAUCCCACAUUGACUUCUA